GUGCCAGCCGCCGCGGUAAUACGGAGGGUGCGAGCGUUAAUCGGAAUUACUGGGCGUAAAGCGCAUGCAGGUGGUCUGUUAAGUCAGAUGUGAAAGCCCGGGGCUUAACCUCGGAAUAGCAUUUGAAACUGGCAGGCUAGAGUACCGUAGAGGGGGGUAGAAUUUCAGGUGUAGCGGUGAAAUGCGUAGAGAUCUGAAGGAAUACCGGUGGCGGAGGCGGCCCCCUGGACAGAUACUGACACUCUGAUGCGAAAGCGUGGGGAGCAAACAGGAUUAGAUACCCGUGUAGUCC
This 292-nucleotide ribosomal RNA is filed under the name uncultured prokaryote. Its description in RNAcentral is "partial 16S ribosomal RNA". It matches the Rfam family "Bacterial small subunit ribosomal RNA", at positions 505 to 796 of the family's 1533-position model. The record is from RNAcentral.